This 289-nucleotide small RNA is filed under the name Martelella endophytica. RNAcentral describes it as "5' ureB small RNA". It matches the Rfam family "5' ureB small RNA". The record is from Rfam by way of RNAcentral. Lineage: Bacteria; Pseudomonadati; Pseudomonadota; Alphaproteobacteria; Hyphomicrobiales; Aurantimonadaceae.
CUUCCUCGAUCUGCUGCGGGCAGAUGAAGUGGAUAUGAGCGUCCAUGCCGCCGGCGGUGAUGAUCUUGCCUUCGGCCGCGAUCGCCUCGGUGCCCGGUCCGACGAUGAUAUCGACGCCGCCCUGCGUAUCCGGAUUGCCCGCCUUGCCGAUGGCGCAGAUGCGCCCGUCCUUGAUGCCGAUAUCGGCCUUCACGAUGCCCCAGUGAUCGAUGAUCAGCGCAUUGGUGAUGACGAUGUCGACAGCGCCUUCCGCACGCGUUGCCUGGGAUUGACCCAUGCCAUCGCGGAU